UACGUAGGUGGCAAGCGUUAUCCGGAUUUACUGGGUGUAAAGGGCGUGUAGGCGGGAAAGCAAGUCAGAUGUGAAAACCAUGGGCUCAACCUGUGGCCUGCAUUUGAAACUGUUACUCUUGAGUACUGGAGAGGCAGACGGAAUUCCUAGUGUAGCGGUGAAAUGCGUAGAUAUUAGGAGGAACACCAGUGGCGAAGGCGGUCUGCUGGACAGCAACUGACGCUGAGGCACGAAAGCGUGGGGAGCAAACAGG
RNAcentral lists this ribosomal RNA (253 nucleotides) under uncultured bacterium. Its description in RNAcentral is "partial 16S ribosomal RNA". It matches the Rfam family "Bacterial small subunit ribosomal RNA", at positions 524 to 776 of the family's 1533-position model. The record is from RNAcentral.